This 291-nucleotide small RNA is filed under the name Chrysochromulina tobinii. RNAcentral describes it as "Chrysochromulina sp. CCMP291 5' ureB small RNA". It matches the Rfam family "5' ureB small RNA". The record is from Rfam by way of RNAcentral. Lineage: Eukaryota; Haptophyta; Prymnesiales; Chrysochromulinaceae.
CAUGUGCAAUCAUGUGCAAUCAUGUGCAAUCAUGUGCAAUCAUGUGCAAUCAUGUGCAAUCAGAUCACCGGCGAGAGCCUCGGUAGUGACUCCGACGGUCAUGCCGGGCGUCACGCCGGCCAUCACGUCCGGAUUGCCCGCCUUGCCGAUGCCCACGAUGCGGUUGCCCUUGAUGCCAAUGUCCGCCUUGAUGAUCCCGAGCACUGGGUCGAGGAUCAGCGCGUUCGUCACCACCAGGUCAAGCGCCUCUCCCGCGUCCGCGCCGGAAGACUGGCCCAUGCCCUCCCGCAG